Molecule: ribosomal RNA, 468 nt
Filed under: uncultured bacterium
Lineage: Bacteria
Description: partial 16S ribosomal RNA
Rfam family: Bacterial small subunit ribosomal RNA
Source: RNAcentral
GACGAACGCUGGCGGCGUGCUUAACACAUGCAAGUCGAACGGAAAGGCCCUGCUUUUGUGGGGUGCUCGAGUGGCGAACGGGUGAGUAACACGUGAGUAACCUGCCCUUGACUUUGGGAUAACUUCAGGAAACUGGGGCUAAUACCGGAUAGGAGCUCCUGCUGCAUGGUGGGGGUUGGAAAGUUUCGGCGGUUGGGGAUGGACUGGCGGCUUAUCAGCUUGUUGGUGGGGUAGUUGCUUACCAAGGCUUUGACGGGUAGCCGGCCUGAGAGGGUGACCGGCCACAUUAGGACUGAGAUACGGCCCAGACUGCUACGGGAGGCAGCAGUGGGGAGUAUUGCAGAGUGGGGGGGAGCGUGAUACAGCAGCGCUCGGUGCGGGAUGACGUGUUUCGGGUUGUGAACCGAUUUCGAAGGUGCCGUAGCGUGAGUGACGGUAAUGAGUAAAAAAGCACCGGCUAACUACGUG